AUUGAACGCUGGCGGCAGGCCUAACACAUGCAAGUCGAGCGAGCGGCGGACGGGUGAGUAAUGUAUGGGGAUCUGACCGAGGGAGGGGGAUAACUAAUGGAAACGGUGGCUAAUACCGCAUACUAUAGGCUGAGCCCAUAUGGGAUUAGCUAGUAGGUGGGGUAAAGGCUCACCUAGGCGACGAUCGGUAGCUGGUCUGAGAGGAUGAUCAGCCACACUGGGACUGAGACACGGCCCAGACUCCUACGGGAGGCAGCAGUGGGGAAUAUUGCACAAUGGGCGCAAGCCUGAUGCAGCCAUGCCGCGUGUAUGAAGAAGGCCUUAGGGUUGUAAAGUACUUUCAGCGGGGAGGCGUUACCCGCAGAAGAAGCACCGGCUAACUCCGUGCCAGCCGCCGCGGUAAUUC
RNAcentral lists this ribosomal RNA (406 nucleotides) under uncultured bacterium. Its description in RNAcentral is "partial 16S ribosomal RNA". It matches the Rfam family "Bacterial small subunit ribosomal RNA", at positions 30 to 526 of the family's 1533-position model. The record is from RNAcentral.